UUAUGUUAAAUGCUCCAUCAAUUAUAUAAUAUUCUGUGCAGUAUACGAAAAAUCAGUAUGCAUUAAAUGCAAAAAAAGUUUCUCCUCUCUUUCGAAAUUAUAUGUGCACUGGACUAAACAUUCUCUGCAUCCGAAUAUAUUUAUGUACAUAUGCCACCUGCUCAACAUUCUUUAAUAAAAAUUUUAAAAUUAAUACAUCAAAUAUAAUUUAAACUAUUGGACUU
Molecule: long non-coding RNA, 224 nt
Filed under: Ananas comosus (pineapple)
Lineage: Eukaryota; Viridiplantae; Streptophyta; Magnoliopsida; Poales; Bromeliaceae
Description: long non-coding RNA (ACOM_LNC027669)
Source: RNAcentral